Molecule: ribosomal RNA, 975 nt
Filed under: Oreoscaptor mizura (Japanese mountain mole)
Lineage: Eukaryota; Metazoa; Chordata; Mammalia; Eulipotyphla; Talpidae
Description: partial 16S ribosomal RNA
Rfam family: Bacterial large subunit ribosomal RNA
Source: RNAcentral
AAUUUUUAAUGUAGAAUUAAAUGUUAAUCUAAAGAGGUACAGCCCUUUAGAUACAGGGUACAACCUUAAAUGGAGAGUAAGCACAAAGUACAACCAUAGUUGGCCUAAAAGCAGCCAUCAAUUAAGAAAGCGUUCAAGCUCAACAAUUUAAAUUACUUAAUCCCAAUAGUACACCUAACUCCCAAACUUCAACUGGAUUAAUCUAUUAGAAAAUAGAAGAAAUACUGUUAAUAUGAGUAACAAGAAUUAUUUCUCCCUGCACAAACCUAUAUCAGAUCGGAUGACCCACUGAUAGUUAACAAACUAAUAAUAGUAACCUAAGCAUAAAAAACUUAUUAAUCAAAUUGUUAACCCAACACAGGUGUGCUACAACCCAAAGGAAAGAUUAAAAGAAGUAAAAGGAACUCGGCAAACACAAACCCCGCCUGUUUACCAAAAACAUCACCUCUGGCAUUAUUAGUAUCAGAGGCACUGCCUGCCCAGUGACAUAAGUUAAACGGCCGCGGUAUCCUGACCGUGCAAAGGUAGCAUAAUCAUUUGUUCUUUAAUUAAGGACUUGUAUGAAAGGCCCCACGAGGGUUUAACUGUCUCUUACUUCCAAUCAGUGAAAUUGACCUUCCCGUGAAGAGGCGGGAAUAACACAAUAAGACGAGAAGACCCUAUGGAGCUUUAAUUAAUUAACUCAAGAAAGUAAUAUUUUAACCCGAUAGGUAUUAACAUAACUAUAACUGAGUUAACAAUUUCGGUUGGGGUGACCUCGGAGUACAAACUAACCUCCGAGAGAUUUUAGUUUAGACUUACAAGUCAAAACCUGUAAAAAAUCAUAAUUGAUCCAAUAAAAUUUGAUCAACGGAACAAGUUACCCUAGGGAUAACAGCGCAAUCCUAUUUAAGAGUCCAUAUCGACAAUAGGGUUUACGACCUCGAUGUUGGAUCAGGACAUCCCAAUGGUGCAGCCGCUAUUAAUGGUUCGUUU